Molecule: unclassified non-coding RNA, 212 nt
Filed under: soil metagenome
Description: partial contains 5.8S ribosomal RNA, internal transcribed spacer 2, and large subunit ribosomal RNA
Source: RNAcentral
AACAUCGCGCACCUGCGGGAACCUGCGGAGGGAUCAUUACCGAGUGCGGGCUGCCUCCGGGCGCCCAACCUCCCACCCGUGACUACCUAACACUGUUGCUUCGGCGGGGAGCCCCCCAGGGGCGAGCCGCCGGGGACCACUGAACUUCAUGCCUGAGAGUGAUGCAGUCUGAGCCUGAAUACAAAUCAGUCAAAACUUUUAACAAUGGAUCU